UAAGGAAUAUUGGUCAAUGGACGCAAGUCUGAACCAGCCAUGCCGCGUGGAGGAUGAAGGUCCUCUGGAUUGUAAACUUCUUUUAUCUGGGAAGAAAUGGUUGCUUUCUAGCGAUCUUGACGGUACCAGAUGAAUAAGCACCGGCUAACUCCGUGCCAGCAGCCGCGGUAAUACGGAGGGUGCAAGCGUUAUCCGGAUUCACUGGGUUUAAAGGGUGCGUAGGCGGAACAGAAAGUCCGUUGUGAAAUCUCCGAGCUUAACUCGGAAAUUGCGGUGGAUACUAUUGUUCUUGAAUACUGUUGAGGUUAGCGGAAUAUGUCAUGUAGCGGUGAAAUGCAUAGAUAUGACAUAGAACACCAAUUGCGAAGGCAGCUGGCUAAACAGAUAUUGACGCUGAGGCACGAAAGCGUGGGGAUCAAACAG
Molecule: ribosomal RNA, 423 nt
Filed under: uncultured bacterium
Lineage: Bacteria
Description: bacterial SSU rRNA
Rfam family: Bacterial small subunit ribosomal RNA
Source: RNAcentral